CCCUCUUUUAGAUCUCCAUUCUCCUCCACAUAUUUCUUCCCUAUAAAUAAAAUAUAUAUUAUUCUCACUCACUUGUCAAUUCCAAUCUCCCAAAAUCCUCCUUUAAUUGUGUGUCUCGUUGACAUCUUCACAUAAUGUCCACCACACCAUCAAAUUCCCCUCAAUUUCACCAUUUUAAAUUCAUCAAAAUCUAAAUGAGAGAAAAUAAAAAAUAAUAAUUUCAUUAUAAAUUCUGAUUAUAUCUAGUCCCUAAUGCGUUUUAGUGCACUGAAACCCACAUCUUCCUGUAUUAAUAAUAAUAUCUAUAUCAAUCGAGUUAAGACUUAAUUGAUUCCUUUAUUUUAUUUUUAUCAUUAAUACUCAACACAAGCACAUGUAUUACACAUAUGAAUAAUAAUUAAAAUGGCAUAGCUUUUUUGUGAGUAUUAUAUAGAAAUCAUAAACUAGCAUAGCAUUACACAUGUAAUAAAUAUUUAUUGCAUAAAAUUAUGAAAAUAGAAAAAUUUAACUCAACAAAAUUAAAGGAUAUUGUUUGAUCAUGGCUGAAAUUUCGAAAUUCAAAACAUAUAAAGAUUAAAAAAUACCCAGUGUUAAGAAAGAGGAGAAGUAGAGGGACGUGAUGUUCGGUUCACUCGCGUAGAGCGGAGAGUCGACAGUGAAGAGGAAGAGUAGAACGGGAGAGUAGAUAAGCGGCUUGGGAGAGGAGGAAGAAGAUUUUCAUUCUCUCGUGCGCACAACUAUAGUGGGUUAUCCUUUAUCCUAUAGUGUCACGUGAUGGGUUAUACAAUAGGUUGUAUGAUUGUACGAACAUGUCAAACAUCAAUGGUCAUUGCAGAUUAGUUGCC
This 845-nucleotide long non-coding RNA is filed under the name Gossypium barbadense (sea-island cotton). RNAcentral describes it as "long non-coding RNA (GBAR_LNC002876)". Lineage: Eukaryota; Viridiplantae; Streptophyta; Magnoliopsida; Malvales; Malvaceae. The record is from RNAcentral.